GGUAAUCUCUCAGUUAAUGAUAUUCCUGCAAAAGUCUUAUUUGAUACUGGUGCAUCGCUUUGUUUCAUGUCAAGAUCGUUUUUUGCAAAGAAUGAUUUUACUUGCUCUUACCUGGAUAAACCAUUGGGUGUUGUUUCUCCGGGGAAGUCAAUGAGAGCCAACUCGAUAGUUCCGGAUGUUUCCAUCAAGAUGGGAAACUAUAAAUUUCUGUCUUCUCCAAUUGUUCUUGGUGAUUCGGAUAUUGAUCUAAUUCUCGGGAUGGACUGGCUUUCUAAGCCCAAGGCUCAACUUGAUUGUGCUGCCAGGGAAAUUCAAUUGACACACUCUUCUGAGGAUGUUAUCAUCUAUGCCGCUCGUGAUGAAACCAUUCGGUUAUUUUCUCUCAAUGAGAAGGGAGAAUUGAAUGCCAUCUCUCAAAUUCCAGUCGUUUGUGAGUAUCAAGAUGUCUUUCCAGAAGAGCUUCCGGGUAUGCCUCCUCACCGGCCAGUUGAGUUCGUUAUCGAUCUUGAGCCUGGCACGGAACCCGUUUGCAAGCGUCCUUACAAGCUUGGACCCAAGGAGCUGAAGGAAUUGAAGAAACAGCUCGAUGAACAAGAGCGUCUGGGUUUGAUCAGACCGAGUUCAUCUCCAUGGGGUUGUGGUGUUCUUUUUGUCCAGAAGAAGGAUGGCACGGAACGACUUUGUGUCGACUACCGUCCAUUGAACAAGAAGACAAUCAAGAACAAGUAUCCACUUCCCAACAUCAAUGAGCUAUUCGAGCAACUCAAAGGUGCUAAAGUAUUCUUGAAGCUU
RNAcentral lists this ribosomal RNA (792 nucleotides) under Triticum aestivum (bread wheat). Its description in RNAcentral is "partial small subunit ribosomal RNA". Lineage: Eukaryota; Viridiplantae; Streptophyta; Magnoliopsida; Poales; Poaceae. The record is from RNAcentral.